GGACCCGCACAAGUAGUGGAGCAUGUGGUUUAAUUCGAAGAUACGCGCAGAACCUUACCAACACUUGACAUGUUCGUCGCGACUUUAAGAGAUUAAAGUUUUCGGUUCGGCCGGACGAAACACAGGUGCUGCAUGGCUGUCGUCAGCUCGUGUCGUGAGAUGUUGGUUAAGUCCCGCAACGAGCGCAACCCUCACUUUUAGUUGCCAUCAUUUAGUUGGGCACUCUGAAAGAACUGCCAGUGAUAAGUUGGAGGAAGGUGGGGAUGACGUCAAGUCCUCAUGGCCUUACGUGUUGGGCUACACACGUGCUACAAUGGCAUUUACAACAGGAAGCAAGACUGCGAAGUUAAGCAA
This 354-nucleotide ribosomal RNA is filed under the name uncultured bacterium. Its description in RNAcentral is "bacterial SSU rRNA". It matches the Rfam family "Bacterial small subunit ribosomal RNA", at positions 917 to 1270 of the family's 1533-position model. The record is from RNAcentral.